This 253-nucleotide ribosomal RNA is filed under the name uncultured bacterium. RNAcentral's name for it is "partial 16S ribosomal RNA". It matches the Rfam family "Bacterial small subunit ribosomal RNA", at positions 524 to 776 of the family's 1533-position model. The record is from RNAcentral.
UACGGAGGGUGCAAGCGUUAAUCGGAAUUACUGGGCGUAAAGCGCGUGUAGGUGGCGACGUAAGUCGGAUGUGAAAGCCCUCGGCUUAACCGAGGAAGUGCAUUCGAUACUGCGUGGCUUGAGUACUGGAGGGGAUGGCGGAAUUCCCGGUGUAGAGGUGAAAUUCGUAGAUAUCGGGAGGAACACCUGUGGCGAAGGCGGCCAUCUGGACAGUCACUGACACUGAGACGCGAAAGCGUGGGUAGCAAACAGG